This 210-nucleotide signal recognition particle RNA is filed under the name Lachnospiraceae bacterium. Its description in RNAcentral is "signal recognition particle sRNA large type". It matches the Rfam family "Bacterial large signal recognition particle RNA". From Rfam's summary of the family: The signal recognition particle (SRP) is a universally conserved ribonucleoprotein involved in the co-translational targeting of proteins to membranes. Archaeal SRP consists of a 7S RNA and homologues of the eukaryotic SRP19 and SRP54 proteins. The record is from RNAcentral. Lineage: Bacteria; Bacillati; Bacillota; Clostridia; Lachnospirales; Lachnospiraceae.
CCGUGCGGCUUUGUUUUUAGGGAAGCUGUCAUGGCUGCCCUGUAUAAGUGGCGUCUGACGAUUGGGUCUUACGCAAUGGAUGUCUGUGAACCGUGUCAGGUUGGGAACAAAGCAGCACUAAACAGAAUUUUCCAUGUGCCGUAAGGGUGCCUGGUCUUAGUUAACUGGACAGGUAACGCAUGGCAGUUUCCCUAAGCGCAAGGCACACGG